RNAcentral lists this ribosomal RNA (565 nucleotides) under uncultured marine eukaryote. RNAcentral's name for it is "bacterial SSU rRNA". It matches the Rfam family "Eukaryotic small subunit ribosomal RNA", at positions 613 to 1190 of the family's 1831-position model. The record is from RNAcentral.
UUGCAGUUAAAAAGCUCGUAGUCGGAUUUCAGUAUUAGGCCCUUCUUCCAAUACGGUUGCUAGUGGUCUUUACUUCCUUAACAGAAUCUUUCAUCUCAUUAAUUUGGGGUGUUUGGGGCCUGUUUCUUUUACUUUGAGAAAAUUAGAGUGUUCAAAGCGGGUUUUCGCCUGGAUAUUACUCUUGGAAUAAUAAUAUAGGACUUUGGUUCUUUUUUGUUGGUGACUUAGAACCGAAGUAAUGAUUGAUAGGGACAGUUGGGGUCAUUCGUACUAUGAAGCGAGAGGUGAAAUUCAUGGACCUUUGUAUGACGAACUACUGCGAAAGCAUUUGACUAGGAUGUUCCCGUUGAUCAAGAACGAAAGUUGGGGGAUCGAAGACGAUCAGAUACCGUCGUAGUCUCAACCAUAAACUAUGCCAACUAGAGAUUGGUGGGGUUCUCCUAUUUGGCUCCAUCAGCAUCUUAUGAGAAAUCAAAGUCUUUGGAUUCCGGGGGGGAGUAUGGUCGCAAGGCUGAAACUUAAAGGAAUUGACGGAAAGGCACCACCAGGAGUGGAGCCUGCGGCU